AUGUCUGAUUCAGUUUGUGUUUCCCUCCCAGCUGCUCUGGCUCAACAGAAAUGUCCAUUCCUGAACGUAAUUAAGAGUGUUUUUCUGCACUCGGAUGAGGAAGGAUGUGUAUCAGCUGGAGCUGUAGAGCGUCAUCUCCGUCACAUCGGGAUCUUGAGUCUCCAGAUCCUGCCGGCAGCUUUCUCUGAUCACAUACACCACCAGUCCCACACAGAUAAAGAUGAGCAGCACUAUACCCAGCACCUGUUCAUGAGAGAUCAACAGUGCUGUCUGUGACGCUUCUGCUCACCUACUGGAGACGUUUAUGACACGCGAGUGAAUCACAAAAGAACACGUCUUCAGAAUGUGUAAAAAAAAAAAAACAAAUCUACAUAUAAAUAUAUUGCUUUUAAAAUAUCAAGUAUUCAUACAUCAUGGCAGUAUCUUUUGUUCUUUUUUAUUUAUUUUGAUUUGAAUUAAAAAACAUUUUAACUUUAUACAUUUAAUUAAAAUAAUUUUUUAAUAGACUUAUAUAUAUAUAUAUAUAUAUACACACACACACACACACUAUUUUUAAUGUUUUUGAAAGAAGUUUCUUCUGCUCAUCAAGUCUGCAUUUAUUUGAUCAAAAAUAUAUUGUGAUAUAUUAUUACAACUUAAUAUAAUAGUUUUCUAUUUGAAUAUACUUUUAAAAAAAAUAAUUUAUUCCUGUGAUGCAAAGCUGAAUUUUCAGCAUCAUUCCUCCAGCCUUCAGUGUCACAUGAUCAUUUAGAAAUCAUUCUAAUAUUCUGAUUUAUUAUGAGUGUUGGAAACAGUUCUGCUGUCUAAUAUAUGUGAUCAAUAAAAGGUUAAAAAGAACUGCAUUUAUAAAAAAUAAAAAAAUAAAAAAAUUAAAUUCUAAUAAUAUAUAUUCUUUACUAUCACUUUUUAUCAAUUUAACACAUCCUUGCUGAAUAAAAGUAUUGAUUUUAUUUUAAAAAAAAGAAAGAAAAAAAUUACGGACCAGUAGUGUAUAUUGUUAUUACAAAAUAUUUAUAUUUUAAAAACAUAGCUUCUUUUUUUUUAUUAUUCAUCAAAAUAUCCUAAAAAAGUAUCCGAUGUUCUGAAAAAAUAUGAAGCAGCAGAACUGUUUCCAACUUUGAUAAUGAAUCGUCAUAUUAGAAUGAUUUCUAAAGGAUCAUGUGAUAAUGAUCCUAAAAAUUCAGCUUUGCAUCCCAGAAAUAAAUGAUCAUUUAAAGUAUAAUCAAUUUAAAAACAAUUAUU
This 1242-nucleotide long non-coding RNA is filed under the name Carassius auratus (goldfish). RNAcentral's name for it is "lncRNA (ENSCARG00000032841.1)". The record is from RNAcentral. Lineage: Eukaryota; Metazoa; Chordata; Actinopteri; Cypriniformes; Cyprinidae.